AUAACUUCCCUCUAGAUCUAGCUGUGAUCGAAGCUCCAUCUAUAAAUGGAUAAAAUUGGGAUCUUACAGUAUACGACUUUUUGAAAGUAAAGUAGCAAUAUCAACAAAGUGGAUAUUGCUACUUUACUUUUAUUAGUAGUCUAAAAAUGAAAAAAUAUUAAUACAUACAUUUUUUAUUUAAGAUUCUUUAGCAUUUUUGAUUUCUUAUGUUAUGUCGAAAUAAAAAAGUAUAUAUAUGGAUGUAUCUCUCUUUUUUCUUUUUUAUUCCUAUCCUAGAAGAAUAAAAGAAUGAUAAUGAAAGGGUAGAAAUUCAGGUAGAAAUCGUUUUUCUAUAGUAUAAGGGCGGAUGUAGCCAAGUGGAUCAAGGCAGU
Molecule: unclassified non-coding RNA, 371 nt
Filed under: Mucuna gigantea
Lineage: Eukaryota; Viridiplantae; Streptophyta; Magnoliopsida; Fabales; Fabaceae
Description: partial miscellaneous RNA
Source: RNAcentral